Molecule: long non-coding RNA, 7316 nt
Filed under: Marmota monax (woodchuck)
Lineage: Eukaryota; Metazoa; Chordata; Mammalia; Rodentia; Sciuridae
Source: RNAcentral
AUUCAUUCAAAAAACAACUCUUUGCUUCAUCAAUCCUUUGUAUUUUUUUAUUUUCAUUUUUAUUAAUUUCAGCUCUGAUACUAAUUAUUUUCUGUCUUCUACUGAUUUUUGCAUUGAUUUAUUCUUUUUCUAGGCCCUUCAGGUAUAAGGUUAGAUUAUUUAUUUAGUAUCUUUUUAUUUUUUAAUGUAUGAACUCAGUGCUAUAAACUUUCUUUUUAGAACUGCCUUCAUACUGUCCCAGAAAUUUUGAUGUUGUAUCACUAUUCUCGCUUGUUUGUAAUAAUUUUUUUAUUUCUCUCCUCAUUUCUUCAGAUAUAUAUUCAUCAUUCAAAGUGUACUUUUUAAUAUCUAGAUGUUAGAGUGGUUUCUGUUUUUUAUCUUGCUGAUUUUUUUUUUUUAUCUUACUGAUUUCACUCCAUUAUGAUCUGAUAGGAUGCAAGGAAUUUUCUCUAUUUUUUGUAUUUGCUAAGAUUUGCUUUUUGGCCUAAAAUAUGAUCUAUUUUAUAAACUGUUCCAUGUGCUGCUGAGAAGAAAGAAAAUUCAGUCGUUGAUGGAUGAAAUAUUCUAUAGAUGUCUAUUAGGUCCAUUUGAUUAAUAGUAUUUUUCAGUUCUGAAGAAUCUUUAUUUAGUUUCUGUCUGGAUGAUCUAUCUAGUGGUGGGAGAGGUGUGUUGAAGUCACCCAAUAUUAUUGUAUUGUGGUCUAUUUGAUUCUAAAUAUUAAGAAAAGUUUGUUUUAUGUAUGUAGAUGUGUCAUUAUUUGGGGGCACAAAUAUUUACAAUUAUUAUAUAUUGCUGGAUGAUUCAUUUAACCAGUAUGAAGUGACCUUCUAUGUCUCUUUUGAUUAAUUUGGCUUGAUGUCUAUUUUGCCUGAUAUAAGAGUAGUCACCCCUGCUUGUUUAUGGGUAAUAUUUGUAUGAUAUAUAUUUUCCCAUUCUUUCACCUUCAGUCUGUGGAUGUCUUUGCCUGUGAGGUUUGUCUCUUACAGAAAACAUAUUGUUGGAUCUUGUUAAUUAAUACAAUCUGCCAAUCUUUGUCUUUUUUUUUUUUUUUUUUUGGUGGUGUUUGGCGUUGAACCCAGGACCUUGUGCAUGCAAAGCAAGCAUUCUACCAAUGGAGUCAUAUCCCUAGGCCAAUUUUUGUCUUUUGAUUGAAGAGUUUAGACCAUUUAUAUUCAAAUUUACUAUAGAGAGAUGCUCUUUAUUUAGUGCUAUUUUGAUGUACUUCUAAUGUUUAAUUCAGACUGGAGUCUCCUCUAAUUGAUUAUUUUUCUAGUGCAAUUCAUAUCUAUGUUGGUUUUCAUUUUUAUUUUUUAUUGCUUCUUCAUGAAAUAAUUGAGUAUGUUUUGUAGUAUAGGUUUUGUUAUGAUGAAUUCUUUUAGGUUUUGCUUAUCAUGGAAGGUUUUUAUUUCAUCUUCAAUUCUGAAGGAUUAUGUUUCUAGGUUUGGUAAUCUUGGUUGGUACCUAUUUUCUUUCAGAGUUUGUUAUGUAUUAUUUCCUCCUGGCUUUUAGGAUAUGGGUUGAGAAAUCAGUUAAAAUCUGAAUUGGUUUACCUCUAAAUAUAACCUGCCAUUUUUCUCUUGCAGUUUUGAGAAUUGUAUCCUUAUUCAGCAUAUUAGGCAUUUUCAUUAUAAUGUGUCUUAGAGAAAAUCUAUUCUGACUCUAUUUGGAUUUUUACAUGCUAUUUGAAUUUCCAUCUCAUUUCUAAGAUUUGGAAAUUUUUCUAAUAUUAUUUUAUUGAAAACAUUGUGCAUUCCUUUAGUUUGUAUCUCAGAGCCUUCAUGUAUCCUAAUGAUUUUUAAAUUUGGUCUCUUGACAUUAUCCUAGAUUUCUUGAUUAUUCUCAUGCUCUCUUAACAUCUUUUUUCCUUGUGGUCAACUUUAUUUUCCAAUAUUAUAUACUUUGUCUUCAAGGCCUGAAAACCUAUCUUCAAAAUGAUCUAAUCUAUUGGUAAUGCUUUCCAUUGGAUUUUAAAUUUAGUUUAUUGAGUCUUUUAUUUCUAGGAUUUCUGUUUGUUAUCUCUUGUCUUUUUAUUGAAGUUGUCUUUCACUUCCUAUAUUUUCCAAUUUCACUACUUAUGUCUCCUUUUAGGUCACUGAAUAUUUUAACUAGGUACUUAAGUUUUUUCUCUGACAUUUCCUACACUGUGGUGUUGAUGAAGUCAGUGGUUGAAGUAUUUGUUGUGGGCUGUUUGGGUGUGGUUUCUUCCUUUGCUUUUCCAUAUUGUUUAUAUGUAUGUCCAUCUAUUGGGUUGGUUAUUGCUUCUCCUUUUGAGCAAGGAACUUCUUCAUGAGCUUCUUUCUCUUAAGAGCCAGGGUUAGGUGAAUAUCCAGGUAUUGGUACUUUAACUUCAUGUGUGGCCUCUGCUGUUGCCAGCGUCAGCACCACUUUGAGAAAAGCCACUGAACUCUAUUGACUUUCAGAGCCAAGCCACAUACUAUUCAAUCUUAUGGAAAGUGAAAAACUUGUUGAUACUGUUCUCCACAAUCCCUCUAAUCCAAGUAUAAACUUGUAGUCAAGCUCUCUCAGAUCAGUUUUUCCUUCACUGCCUUCUUUCUGUGUUGUGGGAGAUUGGAAAUCACUACCUAGCUCUGUUCUGCCAUCUUCAGGACCCCCUGACCCCCACUUUUUUUUUUUUGGUACCAGGGAUUAAACUCAGGGGCACUCGUCCACUGAGCCAAAUAAUCCCUAGUCCUGUUUUGUCUUUUAUUUAGAGACAGGGUCUCACUGGGUUGCUUAGUGCCUCACUUUUGCUGAGGCUGGCUUUGAACUCACAAUCCUCCUGCCUCUGGCUCCUGAGCCACUGGGAUUACAGGUGUGCACCACUGCACCUGGCCCUAGCCACAUUUUAAAUAGGGAAAGAACUCCAGGAACAGUUCUUAACUCCAACUAUUGUGAGUUAAGAGCAGAGCAGAGACUCAUCUGAUUCCAGUGCUUUUUCUUUUUUGCUUCUUCUUAAGUUACUCUGUUUGUCGCACCAGGAAAUUAGAGUGAAUUUAUUAAAUCAUGGUGUGUUGCUUUUUCAAGGUGGUGAACCUUUGUUCAAUUGCUGGUUACCUUCCCAUGGCUGUGACUGGAAUUGUGGCAUAGAUGACUCAACUUCUCUAAUUUUGGCACUAGAUGGUGCUAUAACACCACACAUCUCUACUGCUGUGGGUCUUGGACAAAGUUUCUUCAGCAUUUGGGGCACUGGUGAGGAGGAUGCUACCUUACUUCAGUAUGAAAAAGCAUGGAAGAGAGGAAACUUUCUUGGCCCUAAUAAUCUAGUCUUUGAUGCUAAAUUCUGGGAAUGCUGAAGACUUUCAGCUCUGGGACUUGCAGCCAAGCCUUUUUGUGAAUUGAGUUCUUUGUUUUACCCAGUCCUGGGGAAUAGACUUGGACACACACACAUCCACUUCAGAGGCUCCUGUGGGGGAUGUGGGAUGUCUAAGCAGCAAAGAGCUUGGCACUGUGUUAGAUACUCAAGAGACUACAGAUAUACAAACUCCGUUCUUCUGUAAUCCCAGUGGGCUACAGUCCUGGCUCUCCCAGCCACUUUCUCACCGCCUUUCGGUUGCUCCGGGGGUGGGGGGCUUGCUGGAGGCUGAGGAGCCUUUUGGUGCAGGAACCUGCAUCAGACUCUGCUCUCACAUCCUGGUGAAUAAUUGUUGAGCACCCUCUAAUAAUACUGUUUUGGAGACCUUGUCCUAAAGUCAGUGAGUUUCCAUGAUUUACUUGGACUCUCCAAAAAGGUCAGGGUUAUGAAAGACUGAAGAACUGCCACAGUCAAGGAGGGGGACUGGAAGAGAAAAAAGAUAAGGCAACAAAAUGCAAUAUAGGCUUGUAGUCCAGAAAAAGGACAUUAGUGGAGCAGUGACGAGAAUUGGGUGUAGUCUACAGCUUAGUUAAUAGUAUUGCUCUUUUAUUUCUUGAUUUUGGUCAUUGAACCAUGGCUAUGUCAAAUGUUAAUAUAUGGGGAAGUUGGGUGAAUGGUGUAUGAGAAUUUUUGUAUUGAUUUUAAAAUAUUUUGGGGGUCAAUUUUGAGGUUAUUUCAAACUUGAAAGUUAAAUAAAAAAUAUACAUUUUAAAAAUUUACAUGUUUUAUAUAUCACCAUCAUAGAAUAUUUCAAACCUACAGAAAGGUAUAGAGAAUAGGGACAUCUCCUUGUACAACUUACUCAGAAGUGUUGGUGGGAGGCACUAGAGUGAGGAAUAGAGUGGUUUUUGCAGAAAUUAACUGUUACUCACUGUUAUCCUGUGAUUUUUCUAUGUCCAGACUCCACUUGAUAGUUAAGUUGGACCAUUAUUUUUCAGGCAAAGGCCAUUUAAAAUUUGACAGCUUCCACAUAAGGACAAAUCCUCCUAUCACUCUGCUUUGUGCACCUGUUCUGCUGUCCUCUCACUAGUGGCUUAGUAUAUUUUUUCUUUCUGCAUAGCUUCCUCACAACCUCUGCUGGCCAUGGCCCCUCGCUGUCCUGAUUCUGCCUCUCAGUUAGGCUCUAGGUAACCUUGCAAUUUUAGUCCCUGUUGUUGACUGCAGGAUCCUUACUAUGUUUCCCAGUCCAAAUUCCUGAGAGUGAGAAACUGAUUGGCUUAACACAAAGUCUUUGACAGACUGCAUCACAUUUUGGGAGCUGGCACAGAUACUGGCUUCCCAGGGUUAGUGCUAACCUGGUUCUGUCACCUGCAGCCUGACAGUGAGGGGAGCUGGGUGGGAGGGCUCACUUAGUGUGGCCCCUUGAACAGCAGCUUCAAUGUCAAAUCUGCUUCUAAGGGAUCUGGGCACCGAGGCUCUCCUGUUUCCUGGGUUGUUCUCCUGGAGAAGCAGGAGAGAUAGAGAUAGAGGACUAAGAGAUCUCUGAGUGGGAUCACGAGGGUCUAGUACUUUGUUAUUAUACAACCAAACAUUUGUACACCACUCAGAAGUUUGGUAACUCCACUGUAUAAUCAUGAUCUAAUUUUGUGCACAUUUUGGUAACACUUAUAUGACUGUAUUGCAAUUGCUUUUUUUUCUGUUUCCUCUUAUAGGCAAACAACAGGCAACAUGAAGGCAGAGACUAUGUCCCCUUAUCAAUAUCUUUAGUACUGAUCCUACAGCUAAUAUUCUAGAGAAAUUUUAAAAAUAUUUUUAUUUCAUUUUUAUGUGGUGCGAAGGAUCGAAGCCAGUACCUCACGCGUGUUAGGUGAGCGCUCUACCACUUGAGCCACCAUCCCAGCCUAGAGAUAUUUAUUACAUGUAAGAAUCAAAUAAUUGAGACCACAUUUUUUGAAGCUGACAACUGCUCUUACUGUCUUACUACUGAGGAAGUGGAGGCAUAGUUAAGCAGCUGUCAGGCAUAUGAUUAAAUGACUGGGCUCUUUGUGGCCCAGUCCUACAGAUCUGCAUUCAGAGAACACCCAGUGUGAUUCUCUUCCCAACAUAUGGUAUCUCUCUCCAUUCUUCUUCCCAUACCAGAAAUAAGCAUCAGAAGUUGAUGCUGGGGCUUCUGGGCUCUCUGGGUAUUCUGAGCCCCUCUAGAAUGGUGAAGGGUGCUCCUUUGUUUUUCUUAAAGUCAAUGUGUGGAAGUCCAUUGGAAGCAUAUUUCUUUCUUUCUUUUUCCUCCACAUUUUUUAUUGGUUCAUUAUAGUUGAUGGGACUUGUUGUUUCACAGUCAUACCUGCACAUACCAUAACAAUAUAAUUGGCCAAUAUCACUCCCCAGCACUUCCUCCCUGCUCCCUCCCUCCUACCUCUUGCUCCCUUUAGUCUACUGAUCUCCUUUUGAUUUUCAUGAGAUUCUUCUCCAUCUUUCUUUUCCUUUUUCCUCUCUAGCUUCUUCAUAUGAGAGAAAACAUGUAACCCUUGACCUUUUGAGUUGGACUUAUUUUGCUUAACGUAAUGGUCUCUAGUUCCAUCUGUUUUCUGCAAAUGACAUAAUUUCAUUCUUCUUUAUGUCUGAAGAAGACUCCAUUGUGUAUAUCUACCACAUUUUCUUUGUCCAUUCAUCCAUUGCUGGACACCUAGGCUGGUUUCAUAGGUUUGGCUAUUGUGUAUUAUGUUGCUAUAAAUAUGGGGAUGCGUGUAUCACUGUAGUAAGAUGACUUUAAUUCUUAGGAUAAAUGCUGAGGAGUGGGAUAGCUGGGUCACAUGGUGGUUCCAUGCCUAGCUUUUUGAGGAAAUUCCAUAUUGACUCAUUGGAAGCAUAUUUUAGUAUCUUUAUGGAUUUUCUUGUGAGAUAACUACAGAGCAUAAAAGUAUUGACUUCAUUAAAUCAGCUUGUACCUGUAAUGUUUAUCUUGAGACUCUGGAUAGCAUAAGGAUUAGGGACACAUUGGAAAUGGGGAAUGGGGAUUUUGGGACAGGUCUGGAUGUGGGGAGUUAGAGGUAGAAGGAAGAAGAGCAGAAGAUAGACUUCAGGUGGAAGGAUGCUGUGGUUUGGAUAUGGCUAGAGUGUGUCUCCAAGGAUCUGUGUGUUAGGAGCUUGGUUCCUAGUGUGGUGGUACUGACAGGAGGUUCGAUUUUUAAGAAGCAGGGCUUAGUGGAAGUUCCUUAUGUCACUGGGGUAUUGUCCUCAGAAAGGACUGUGGAACCCCAACUUCUCAGGCUUCCUGUUUUUCAGAUGUGAUUUCUUUCCUCAUGUAUUUCUGCCAUUGUGACUCCAUCCCCCGUGAGUCCCCAUGUAGGAACCAUGCACUUGAAUCUCCAUAGCCAAGCUAACUAGACUUCUUUAUGUUAGCCUGCCUGAAGCAUUUCAUUAUAAUAAUGCAAAAUGGACCAGCAGACUGGUUUGAAUACAGGAUUGAAAGGUGAGAAAUGAAUUGUACAGAAUGUGAAUGUGGAGGAAUUCUGAGAAAUGGCAGCCAAUGCUGGUGACACAGAUGAGACAACUGGUAAUUUAGGAGAUUAUUGUUAAUGUCAAAACCAUCAUAUACAAUUAUAGGUUAAAAUGAAAAAUUUGUAUGUGCAAUUAAGUUACAGUAAAGACCUCAGAGAAACUUAGCUUUUGUAUUAGGUUAUUUUGUAACACCCCAAUUUCUUAGGGAAACAAUCAGUUAAUUCUCAGUUUGUGUGUGUGUGUGUGCAUCUCCACUGACUGCAUUUGGCUUUUUUCUCUAGUGCCCACCAGGGUACCUGGUCCACACUGGCCAUCCAUAUGAAGAAAGAUGUUCAUUGUACUAUUACUAGUAGUAUAAAAAAAUGGAAAACAACAAUAUAAGUAUCCAAAAAAGGGCAUGGUUUGAUAAAAGAGUGUAUAUCUACUGGAUGGAAUGUCAUGUAUCCUUUAUAUGAUGGUUGUAAAAACUAUGUUGCAAAAUAAAAAAAAAAUGCAUUUACAUUUUUUCAAAAAAUUUCCCUCUUGU